Molecule: long non-coding RNA, 1273 nt
Filed under: Anas platyrhynchos platyrhynchos (common mallard)
Lineage: Eukaryota; Metazoa; Chordata; Aves; Anseriformes; Anatidae
Description: lncRNA (ENSAPLG00000023286.1)
Source: RNAcentral
AUGAUGGGCCUCCUCACUGCCGUUAGCCUUUUUUCACAGCUUUUCCUCAACGUCUUACCCACGGCCCCCAGCUGCAGAGGUCGGAGCCUUCCACGUUUUCACUGAAAGCACCAACCCGCUGGCAUGUUUGCGCGUCCCAGUGUACAUGACAAUAUGAACUAGGAGUACAAGGCUCUGUUCUCCUUUCUAGGCUCCUCGGCUGUCCUGCUGGUUGUUUUGGGGAGUGUUGCGUUUGUCGUCAUGGCUCUGUGCUCUUACUUUCUGUGUAAGUAAUACUGGGAAGUAUACUGGGCUUCACCCAGUGUCAUGGUUUAACCUGGCCGGCAGCUAAACACCACACAGCUGUUCGCUCACCCUCCCCCCUCCCUGUCUGGCAUGGGGGAGAGAAAUGUGAAAGUGAAGCUCGUGAGUUGCGAUAAAGACAGUUUCUUAAGACAGGAAAAUCAUAAUAACGAUAAUGAUUAUAAUAGUACUACUACUAGUAAUGUGUACAAACUAGUGAUGCACAAUGCAAUUGCUCACCAGCCGCUGACCGAUGCCCAGCCGAACCCCGAGCAGUCUGGCCCCCCCCCGGCUAGCCACCCCUAUCUAUUGUUCAGCAUGACCCCAGAUGGCAUGGAAUACCCCUUUGACCAGUUUGGGUCAGCUGUCCUCGGUCUGUCCCUUCCCAGCUCCUGCUGCACCCCCAGCCUGCCCUCUGGCAGGACAGUGCAAGAAGCUGAGACAUCCUUGGCUUGGUGUAAGCACUGCUCUGCAACAAUUAAAACAUCGGGGUGUCAUCAGCACUCUUCUCACCCUAACCCAAAACACAGCAUUCCACCAGCUAUUAGGAAGAAAAUUAACUCUGUCCUAACUGAAACCAGGACAUCCAGAUAUCACCUCAGGCCUUAUCGCAGCAGUGGCCUGAGCUGUAUCCUGCCUUGCUGUGAGGACUCUGGCUCUCCAGCAACAUGGCCAGGCCCUCACCUGCCCUGCGCUGCGUCCUCUGCUGACACCUCGCUGCAUCCCUUGUGGGCUCGGCCAAGCGUGGGUCACCUGGACCAGAAGGGACUCAUGUGGGUGGCACUGCAUCAGGCCGCUGCUCUCCCCUGCUGUCACGAGGAGGAGCAUGACAGGAGGCCGAAAGCUCCUCCAUGGCCUGGUAGAGUACUAGGUAGAAGACUGCCGUGUCUAUCAGCAGUUGGUGUGAUACGGGGUUCAGCCUUUGGGCUGCAAGGAGGUGCAGAGCAGGCUGUUAUAGUUGGGCAAAUCCAUCAGGAAAAUCCUUCUGCUA